This 74-nucleotide transfer RNA is filed under the name Chloroflexi bacterium RBG_13_50_21. RNAcentral describes it as "tRNA-Gln". It matches the Rfam family "tRNA". From Rfam's summary of the family: Transfer RNA (tRNA) molecules are approximately 80 nucleotides in length. Their secondary structure includes four short double-helical elements and three loops (D, anti-codon, and T loops). The record is from RNAcentral. Lineage: Bacteria; Bacillati; Chloroflexota. RNAcentral also lists the same sequence under 1 other name.
UGGGGCAUGGUGCAAUGGCAGCACAGCAGACUUUGGAUCUGCUUAUUCUGGUUCGAGCCCGGAUGCCCCAGCUA